This 402-nucleotide ribosomal RNA is filed under the name uncultured Ruminococcus sp. RNAcentral describes it as "bacterial SSU rRNA". It matches the Rfam family "Bacterial small subunit ribosomal RNA", at positions 355 to 774 of the family's 1533-position model. Lineage: Bacteria; Bacillati; Bacillota; Clostridia; Eubacteriales; Oscillospiraceae. The record is from RNAcentral.
UGGGGAAUAUUGCACAAUGGGGGAAACCCUGAUGCAGCGACGCCGCGUGAAGGACGAAGUAUUUCGGUACGUAAACUUCUAUCAGCAGGGAAGAAAAUGACGGUACCUGACCAAGAAGCCCCGGCUAACUACGUGCCAGCAGCCGCGGUAAUACGUAGGGGGCAAGCGUUAUCCGGAUUUACUGGGUGUAAAGGGAGCGUAGACGGCCAUGCAAGUCUGAUGUGAAAACCCGGGGCUCAACCCCGGGACUGCAUUGGAAACUGUGCGGCUGGAGUGUCGGAGAGGCAAGUGGAAUUCCUAGUGUAGCGGUGAAAUGCGUAGAUAUUAGGAGGAACACCAGUGGCGAAGGCGGCUUGCUGGACGACGACUGACGUUGAGGCUCGAAAGCGUGGGGAGCAAACA